RNAcentral lists this long non-coding RNA (636 nucleotides) under Felis catus (domestic cat). RNAcentral's name for it is "lncRNA (ENSFCAG00000047244.1)". Lineage: Eukaryota; Metazoa; Chordata; Mammalia; Carnivora; Felidae. The record is from RNAcentral.
GCCUGCCGGCUGCAGACUCCAGGCGUGGUUCCCGCCCUGCAGGCUGUCCUGCUCCCACAGACCCAGCGCCCAGUGGGCGGCUGAACAGGAUGCUCCCCUCAGUGUGGGCCUGGGCAACACCAGCCUGGGCAGCAGUGGAAGCGUGUACAGGGAUGACCUGCGAGGAGGCCCGAGACUCGGCGGCCCGCUGGCCCCAGCUUAGGUGCUGGUACAGCGCUGUGUAUCCAUGACAUGCCACUGUUGGAGGCCCUGGAGUGCACCAAGAUGGCCCAGGGCAGUCGGUUCUCAUUUUCCUGGAGGCCUGCAUUGUCGCCUCCUGCCCGGAGGGUCUCAUCUGCGGUUGGACCCGGACAAGACUGUCACAGGAGAGGAGGCCCAGACAGGAGAAGGAAACUGGUCCACGUCACCCAGCAAGUCGGUGGUAGAGGGCAUCUCCUCCCAAACCAGGCUUGCACAGUGAAAAGAAGGACUUUGAGACCAAGAUAAAGGACAAGACAGACUACACAAGCGAGAUGUUUCAUCUGCUUGUCAAAGAUUAGCUCUACAGUCUGCAGUUCUUUAAAUACUACUUCAGCGAGUGUUGUGAUUUUUUUUGUCAAACCCAUUUGUAAUGUUAUAUGGUGCUUAGAAGACAGA